AUACGGAGGGUGCAAGCGUUACUCGGAAUCACUGGGCGUAAAGCGCGCGCAGGCGGGCUGAUAAGUUGGAUGUGAAAGCCUACGGCUCAACCGUAGAACUGCAUCCAAAACUGUCAGCCUAGAGUCUGAGAGGGGAAGAUGGAAUUAGUUGUGUAGGGGUAAAAUCCGUAGAGAUAACUAGGAAUACCAAAAGCGAAGGCGAUCUUCUGGAACAGUACUGACGCUGAGGCGCGAAAGCGUGGGGAGCAAACAGAAUUAGAUACCCUAGUAGUCC
This 274-nucleotide ribosomal RNA is filed under the name uncultured bacterium. RNAcentral's name for it is "partial 16S ribosomal RNA". It matches the Rfam family "Bacterial small subunit ribosomal RNA", at positions 523 to 796 of the family's 1533-position model. The record is from RNAcentral.